This 30-nucleotide ribosomal RNA is filed under the name uncultured Cortinarius. Its description in RNAcentral is "partial 18S ribosomal RNA". Lineage: Eukaryota; Fungi; Basidiomycota; Agaricomycetes; Agaricales; Cortinariaceae. The record is from RNAcentral.
GUUCGUAGUUGACCUGCGGAAGGAUCAUUA